RNAcentral lists this ribosomal RNA (818 nucleotides) under uncultured bacterium. RNAcentral's name for it is "bacterial SSU rRNA". It matches the Rfam family "Bacterial small subunit ribosomal RNA", at positions 56 to 887 of the family's 1533-position model. The record is from RNAcentral.
UGCAGUCGAACGAUUAAACUCGCCUUCGGGUGAGAUAUAAAGUGGCGCACGGGUGAGUAACACGUAAGUAAUCUACCUUCGGAUGGGGAAUAACAGUCGGAAACGACUGCUAAUACCGCAUAAUGCAGCGGCAUCAUAAGAUGACAGUUGUUAAAGUAUUUAUACGUCUGGAGAGGAGCUUGCGGCAGAUUAGCUAGUUGGUAAGGUAAUGGCUUACCAAGGCGACGAUCUGUAGCCGACCUGAGAGGGUGGUCGGUCACACUGACACUGAAUAACGGGUCAGACUCCUACGGGAGGCAGCAGUCGGGAAUUUUGGGCAAUGGGCGAAAGCCUGACCCAGCAACGCCGCGUGAAGGAUGAAGUUCUUCGGAAUGUAAACUUCGUAAAAAUAGGAAGAAUAAAUGACGGUACUAUUUGUAAGGUCCGGCUAAUUACGUGCCAGCAGCCGCGGUAAUACGUAGGGACCAAGCGUUGUUCGGAUUUACUGGGCGUAAAGGGCGCGUAGGCGGCGUGACAAGUCACUUGUGAAAUCUCCGGGCUUAACUCGGAACGGUCAAGUGAUACUGUUGUGCUAGAGUACAGAAGGGGCAAUCGGAAUUCUUGGUGUAGCGGUGAAAUGCGUAGAUAUCAAGAGGAACACCAGAGGCGAAGGCGGAUUGCUAGGCUGAUACUGACGCUGAGGCGCGAAAGCUAGGGUAGCAAACGGGAUUAGAUACCCCGGUAGUCCUAGCCCUAAACGAUGAAUACUUGGUGUCUGGAGUUUAAUUCUCUGGGUGCCGUCGCUAACGUUUUAAGUAUUCCGCCUGGGGAGUACGCAC